UUUAAUAAAUAUUUAAAUUGUGCUGAAAAUUAAAUAAAAUCAAAUCCCAGACGAAUUAUCGGGAUUCAUUUAAUAAGUGUUUAGUUAUUUUAUGCCAGUGCCACGUGCCAGUGCGGCUAGUACCAAAUUAUCACCCUAUUAUGCAACCGGCUAUCUGGAGGCCGAAAUGGAUGAAAUAUGGGAAUUAACUAGUGCAGAGAUUCGACGCGGGAUCGCAAUCUUUUGAUAAAUAUUUUUGGAUUCGACGACAAGCCCCCUUUUCGCUACACGGAGAGAAAACUCCGGCGAAUUAUUUAUAAAUUUGUAACUAUAAGAAGUGCAAUUAUGUGAAUAUUGGCCUGCUGAAUUUUAUUCAAAGCUCAAAUCCCUUUUGUUAAUUAUGAAAUUAUUCUGCGGAAAGAAAGAAUAUUGUAUCUUAAUUCGAAUUUUGCACACCCUUCAGUUUUUUUUUAA
Long non-coding RNA from Drosophila ananassae, 453 nucleotides. RefSeq lists it as uncharacterized. The record is from RefSeq and is a predicted model, not a curated record. The transcript is spliced from 3 exons. Lineage: Eukaryota; Metazoa; Arthropoda; Insecta; Diptera; Drosophilidae.